This 1877-nucleotide small RNA is filed under the name Vigna angularis var. angularis. RNAcentral describes it as "Non-protein coding transcript". The record is from RNAcentral. Lineage: Eukaryota; Viridiplantae; Streptophyta; Magnoliopsida; Fabales; Fabaceae.
GCGGCUUUAUUUUGAAAAUGCAAGACAAUAUGCAGAAACGAUAAGAGGCUUUAAAGUUAGUCAAAUUUCACAUGAAGAGGGCCCAAGAACGAGUGAAGAAAUUGGCAGAUAAAAACUGAAGUGAUAGAUAUGAGGUUGGUGCUCUUGUGUAUGUCAAGCUCCAACCCUACAAACAGAUUUCAGUAGCAUUUCGGGCUAAUGCCAAGUUAGCACCUAACUACUUUGGGCUGUUUCUUAUCACCGAUACGAUUGGAGCGGUAGCUUAGAAGCUACAACUUCCACAGGUGUCUAAAAUUCAUGAUGUCUUUCAUGUAUCACAACUUAAAAGGCAUAUUGGUGAGGCCACGGUAGCAAGUUUUCUUCCUACCGAUUCGAAUAAUUAUAUUUAAGAAAACGUCAUACACAGAAGGGUUUCAAGCUGGAACCCAGAUACUUGUGAAGAUCACAACAUCAACACUACAGGUUCAAUAUUUCAUUUUAUGAUUCUACCAUAUAUACUGAUUGAACAUUCAUUCAAGAAAAUGUAUGGCACUGAAGAGAUAUUUGUUAAACUUGUUUGGUAAAAUAUCUUUUCUCAGUUGCCUGUGAAACAUAUGUUCAAAAUUAUCUUAUAAUUAUCUCACACAUAUAGUGGAAGAAGAUGUUUUUCAUUUUCUUGAUUCGAUGCUGAUAGUCAUAAUAUAUCAUGUUAAGCUGAUCAGACAAUCAAUCAAAUCUAAAUGAGGUGAAAUUACAAGCUAAUUUUUCCGACAGCAGAUAUAUAUUAUUCAAAGCAAUACAUUUCCAAAUAAGGCACAGACAUGCAAGCUACACACAAUCAGAAGUUCUUUACUGUCAUAAAUCAUUAGCAGUAUGAGAAGCACCAUCUUCUUGAGAAUCACCAAGCUCAUCACAUGCACUAUCAUAAUCAGCUUCAUCUGAGUUACCACUUGCACUGUUCUCUACACCAGCUGUAGGGUAGAGAGAAGAUUCUACGAGGUACUCCGGGCGCGGAGGAGAACGAAAGUAUGGUGAUGGUGGUGAAGACAAUGAUGUUGAUAGAAAUUCAACAUGCGAGUUCAAAUUAUUAUUAUUAUUCAAUUGAAGCCUGCAAACUGGACAUGUUUUGCUGCUGUUAAGCCAACGAAGAAUGCAUUCGGAACAAUAGGUGUGGGUGCAGGGUAACCGGUAUGCUUGAUCACACACUUUAAACUCAUCCAUGCAAAUGGGACAGAGAAAGAGUUUAUCUGUCUCUGAUACUCUUACCCUGCUAAGGCCAUUCAUGGCAAUCGUUGAGCAUCCACUAUUAUCACCUUCAAAAACAUGACUUAUAUUGGGAGAUUGAAGCCUAUCCUGCAGUACUUCUUCGUUAAGAAUAGCCCAAACCCCACUGAGAUCAAGCUGAUGCUGUUGCAGCAACAGUGGCCGUACAAAAUCUGGUGGUGGCGGUGGUGGUAGAAAGCGCCAAUCCAUUUGAGGUUCAGGAUUUGGUGGUGGUGGUGGUGGUGGUGGUGAUGGCGGCAGCGGCAGCGGCGGAGAAAGUUCUUGCCAUGUCCUACUAGUUGUAAUUGUAGUACUUGGUGUAAUGAUUACAGAUUCUACGUCCGAGUCAUCUGAACUAUCUGAACUAGUGGGAACAAAGCAUAGCUGAUGAUACCACCUUGUGGUUUGCCUUUGGCCACGGUUCAGUGGCAUGGUUUUGCAAGGGCUGUGUUCAACUGUAUAAUAUACUAUAUUGAAAGUCUUUAGCCAUUUACCAUAUGCAAUGUUUGUUUUCGGAGGAAGCUUCAACUUCUGAUCAUCUCAAAUUUUAUCUUCCCUUUGCUCCUUGGUCACUAAGCAAUCAUCUUUUUAGUUAAGUCUGCAAGUGGGUGCUGUCACAUGCACACAUCACAAAG